This 249-nucleotide long non-coding RNA is filed under the name Phoenix dactylifera (date palm). RNAcentral's name for it is "long non-coding RNA (PDAC_LNC013929)". Lineage: Eukaryota; Viridiplantae; Streptophyta; Magnoliopsida; Arecales; Arecaceae. The record is from RNAcentral.
UAGUAUGCGCCACUAAAAUGACAAUAAGGUGUAAGAUCUUUUAAUUAAAACAUGCUUCAAUAUUCAUCAAAUGUCCAUUCUUGGAAUCACUAGCAGUGAAUUUUGUUGAAGAAUGACAAUGUAAGUAGUAAUUUGGAUCUUUAAGUCAAAAGCAUAAGCAUAAAAUAUUUUGGCUAAUUAAGGAUAAAAGGAGUAUUCUUACUUCUUAAAACUUCAAAGUGCAAUGGAGAUUGCAAAUUUCUGAGCCAC